UAACGGCGAGUGAAGCGGCAAAAGCUCAAAUUUGAAAUCCUGCGGGAGUUGUAAUUUGAAGGUUUCGGGUUCUGAGGCUGUGCGCGCCCAAGUCCAUUGGAACAUGGCGCCUGGGAGGGUGAGAGCCCCGUCCGGCGCGGCGCAGUCUUUUUUGCGACCCGAUUCCGACGAGUCGAGUUGUUUGGGAAUGCAGCUCAAAGUGGGUGGUAAAUUCCAUCUAAAGCUAAAUAUUGGCGAGAGACCGAUAGCGAACAAGUACAGUGAUGGAAAGAUGAAAAGCACUUUGAAAAGAGAGUGAAACAGUACGUGAAAUUGUUGAAAGGGAAGGGCUUGCAAGCAGACACGGUUUCGGCCGGGCCAGCAUCGGUUUGCCGGGGUGGACAAUGCGGCGGGAAUGUGGCG
Molecule: ribosomal RNA, 402 nt
Filed under: Clavispora sp.
Lineage: Eukaryota; Fungi; Ascomycota; Pichiomycetes; Serinales; Metschnikowiaceae
Description: LSU rRNA
Rfam family: Eukaryotic large subunit ribosomal RNA
Source: RNAcentral